GAUUUCUGGUGUGGUGCGUCGAGCCCGCCGCCGUUAGGCGGUGAGUGCUUGUUAUGCGCCUACCAUCCUUCUGGAGAGUGCAUUCUACCCUUAACUGGGCCGGAGUGCGCGAUCUGGAUCGUUUACUUUGAAAAAAUUAGAGUGUUUAAAGCAGGCGUAUGCUAUGAAUACAUUAGCAUGGAAUAAUAAGAUAGGGCUUUGGUUCUAUUUUGUUGGUUUCUAGGACCGAAGUAAUGAUUGAUAGGGACAGUUGGGGGUGCUAGUAUUUAACGGCCAGAGGUGAAAUUCUUGGAUUCGUUAAAGACUAACUUAUGCGAAAGCAUU
RNAcentral lists this ribosomal RNA (324 nucleotides) under uncultured Limnofilidae. Its description in RNAcentral is "SSU rRNA". The stretch from base 108 to 324 matches the Rfam family "Eukaryotic small subunit ribosomal RNA", at positions 737 to 955 of the family's 1831-position model. Lineage: Eukaryota; Cercozoa; Limnofilidae. The record is from RNAcentral.